AUUGAACGCUGGCGGCAGGCCUAACACAUGCAAGUCGAACGGUAACAGGAAGCAGCUUGCUGCUUUGCUGACGCGUGGCGGACGGGUGAGUCAUGUCUGGGAAACUGCCUGAUGGAGGGGGAUAACUACUGGAAACGGUAGCUAAAACCGCAUAACGUCGCAAGCCCAAAGAGGGGGACCUUCGGGCCUCUUGCCUUCGGAUGUGCCCAGAUGGGAUUAGCUAGUAGGUGGGGUAACGGCUUACCUAGGCGACGAUCCCUAGCUGGUCUGAGAGGAUGACCAGCCACACUGGAACUGAGACACGGUCCAGACUCCUACGGGAGGCAGCAGUGGGGAAUAUUGCACAAUGGGCGCAAGCCUGAUGCAGCCAUGCCGCGUGUAUGAAGAAGGCCUUCGGGUUGUAAAGUACUUUCAGCGGGGAGGAAGGGAGUAAAGUUAAUACCUGUGCUUAUUGACGGUACCCGCAGAAGAAGCACCGGCUAACUCCGUG
RNAcentral lists this ribosomal RNA (490 nucleotides) under uncultured bacterium. RNAcentral's name for it is "partial 16S ribosomal RNA". It matches the Rfam family "Bacterial small subunit ribosomal RNA", at positions 30 to 507 of the family's 1533-position model. The record is from RNAcentral.